RNAcentral lists this long non-coding RNA (1779 nucleotides) under Phoenix dactylifera (date palm). Its description in RNAcentral is "long non-coding RNA (PDAC_LNC009129)". The record is from RNAcentral. Lineage: Eukaryota; Viridiplantae; Streptophyta; Magnoliopsida; Arecales; Arecaceae.
GAUAUUCAUUAAAAGCAAGAGUGUCUAUACAAUUUCAGGACUAUGAAAUUAAAUAUAUAAACCCGUGUCUCUUUGUUAGGGCUACAUCCAGCCUGGAGAAAAGCUCAGCCUUCCAUGAAGAGUUGAACAGUGGCAGCACCGAGAGCUUCCAUUUUUUCUUUUCUUCCUCCCCUCCCUUCUCUGUCUCCCGUGGGAACUCCUCCGAAGGAUGGAUGGGAACCGAUGGGUGAGAAGAAUACCUUCUCUGUUCACGCCUGGGCCUUUUAUAGGCUGCAUACCUCCCCCUCUCCUCCCCUGUUCCAAGUGGGAAGAUAAGAACACGGGAUGCACGUGGGAUAUCUUGGAGAUUUGCUGGGAUUGGAGCUUAUCCGGAAGAAGGUUGGGAUGCUGAGAACGAACGCCUGGGCAGAAUCUGCGGACGAUGGAAGCCGAUCGCGAAUGGGAGGGAGGCUGCGAACGUGGAGCGAAGUGAAUCGCGUUCGGGCUGUUGGAUGAAGAGCUGGGUUCGCGUGGUAGGAAUUCGUCCGUGAAAUUUGGGAAGAUAAACUCGAUCGCAGAGCUGUGGAGGACGUGAUCUGAUCCUAACGGAGAGUUCGGAAUCCAUGGAUGCUAGAGACGAAGCUCCCCUGCUUUGUUUUGUUUCCGUGAAGUCUGGGAAGAGGAAUCGGAAGCCAUGAUACGAGAGAUCGGCUCUGUUCUUUGGAUACUUGCAGUUGGCAGCUGGAUAAGGAUCACGCUGAGAUGCAUGGACGCGGAAGGAGCUGGGACGUGGAGAAGGCUCUGAUCGGGACGUUGGGAAGAGGAUGAGCUGGGAGCUGAUGCAUUGAUUCGCUGGAUCCGUGAAGCUCGCCGAACGGCUGGAUUGGUUGAAAAUCUGCUGGGAGCGAAAGGAAAGGAGUUGCUUUGAUUCGUGAUGAAGAGGAGAUGAUUUAGGAGCAGGGGAUGUGAAGUAAUCGAUUGAUUAGUUGCAAUUUGUUGGGAAUUUUGUUCUUCACAGCUGAAACAGAGGAUUCGGUUUGGGAACAGGGGACGAUGCAGUUGGGAUGAAGAUUGAAUCUAUUGGAUGCAGGGGAUGGCGUGGACGAUGCUCGCGGCUGAGAGGACUUGAUCCUUCGAUGCUGGAAAGUUUGCUGGGAUUUGAGUUUAUCCCAAACGGGAUGACGAAAAGAUCACGAACGGGAUGAGCGUGGGACGUUGAGAUCAAUCUGGAAGAGAAGGACAAUGAAGUUAAUCCGAAAUGCUAGGAAGAAUGCUGCGAACGCUCAUCCUGGCUGGGAUCUAGCGGAAGAAGCUGGCUUGAUUCGGAAGAGGAAAGACACGGCUCUGUUUAUUGGACACGGGAGAUCUCAUGCAGGAUGCCCACGGGAUACUCGGACACAAUUGAAUGUGAGUGGCUGAGGUGUGAAGUAGAGGAUGCGAGGGCGUUGCUUGGAAUGGUUGGGCUCUGCUUCACGUGCCGAGAAAGGAAGUUGAAGUUGGGAUCGACUCGGAAGGAUGUGGAGUCGACUCCAAUUAGUUGGGGUCGACUUGAGAUGGCUGGAGUCAACUCCAAUGAAGUUGGCUAGGAGGAUGGGUCUAUUUUGAGGUUAAAAACAAAGGAAGUUUGGGUAUGUGGAAAGAAAGAGGCUUGUUCGCAUGGAGAAAAAGAAAUUGAUGGGAUGCAGUGGGUCCAGGCAUCAUCCAAUUGAGUUUGAUUCGACCUGCAUGCAUUAGGCUUGAUCAACAAAUAAUCAAAUCAAACUUGAAUUACCUCUAUUUAUUAAAAUGUGCUGAUGAAAG